CUCAAAAUCGAGUACCGCACAAUUUUAUCUCAAGCGGUUAUAGCGCAGUAUAUGGUUUUGUAAAUGUAGCCUUGGUAAUAGUAUGGUGAAAUUGAAAGGUCUAAAUACUUUGCCGAUGUACGGUGGUUCACGUCUCAGAGGAUACCUUCGUAUGUACCGCUUUCGAGUCUGUUCUUUAUUAACGUAAUAAAGUCUGACUGUGCGAGAACGGACAUAUCUACUUACAUCCCAUAGAUAAUAGGUACAGUAGCUGACGAAAGUAUUCGAACAUUUAUAGGAAACUUCCUGUGAUUUUUUACUGCGUGUGUUGUACGAAACUUUUUGAAAUUUCAUUAGCGGUGUAGUGCGUGAGCUGUUGUACCGUGUACCAGAGGUAAGUAGAUACGUCUGUCUCUGGACGGACGAACGCGAAAGAAUAAUUAUUUUUAUGUAUGAUUUCUCGCUUCAACCGUAUGCUAAAG
This 461-nucleotide unclassified non-coding RNA is filed under the name Bombus terrestris (buff-tailed bumblebee). Its description in RNAcentral is "misc RNA ENSBTSG00005024661.1". The record is from RNAcentral. Lineage: Eukaryota; Metazoa; Arthropoda; Insecta; Hymenoptera; Apidae.